Molecule: ribosomal RNA, 1262 nt
Filed under: metagenome
Description: bacterial SSU rRNA
Rfam family: Bacterial small subunit ribosomal RNA
Source: RNAcentral
GGUGGUUGGUGGGGUAAAAGCCUACCAAGCCAUAGACGGGUAGCUGGCGUAAGUGCGUGACCAGCCACAUCGGGACUGAGACACUGCCCGGACUCCUACGGGAGGCUGCAGUCGAGAAUCUUUCCCAAUGGACGAAAGUCUGAGGAUGCGACGCCGCGUGGGGGAUGAAGGUUUUCGGAUUGUAAACCCAUUUUAUUGUGGAGGAACGUCAUAGGGUUAAUAGCCUUGUGAUCUGACUGUACACAAUGAAUAAGCCACGGCUAACUCCGUGCCAGCAGCCGCGGUAAUACGGACGUGGCGAGCGUUACUCGGUUUGAUUGGGUGUAAAGGGUCCGCAGGCGGCUAUGUAAGUGAAAGGUGAAAUCUUUCGGCUUAACCGAAAAACUGCCUUUCAAACUGCUUAGCUUGAGGAUGGAAGAGGAGAGUGGAACUGCCGGUGUAAAGGUGAAAUUUGUGGAUAUCGGUAGGAACGCCCGUGGAGAAGUCGGCUCUCUGGUCCAUACCUGACGCUCAGGGACGAAAGCUAGGGGAGCGAACAGGAUUAGAUACCCUGGUAGUCCUAGCUGUAAACGAUGGGCACUAGGUGUUUGUUCGUAUGAAUGGGUGCCGCAGCUAACGCAUUAAGUGCCCCACCUGGGGACUACGGCCGCAAGGCUAAAACUCAAAGGAAUUGACGGGGGCCCGCACAAGCGGUGGAACACGUGGUUUAAUUCGAUGCUACGCGAGAAACCUUACCAGGGUUUGACAUGCUGGAAGUAGUAGCCUGAAAGGGCGUCCGACCUGUAACCAGUCAGGUACCAGCACAGGUGCUGCAUGGCUGUCGUCAGCUCGUGCCGUGAGGUGUUCCCUUAAGUGGGAGAACGAGCGCAACCCUCGCCUUUAGUUGCUACUUUUUUGGUUUACCAGAAGAGGCACUCUAAAGGGACUGCCCGCGUUAAGUGGGAGGAAGGUGAGGACGACGUCAAGUCCGCAUGGCCCUUAUGUCCUGGGCGACACACGUGUUACAAUGCCUGCUACAAAGGGACGCCAAACCGUGAGGUGGAGCAAAUCCCAAAAAAAGCAGGCUCAGUUCGGAUUGCAGGCUGCAAUUCGCCUGCAUGAAGCCGGAAUCGCUAGUAAUGGCGCAUCAGCACGGCGCCGUGAAUACGUUCCCGGGCCUUGUACACACCGCCCGUCAAGCGCUGAAAGUGGGGGGCACCCGAAGACCCAUUUUUAUGGGGACACGGUGAAUUUCAUGAUUGGCGCUAAGUCGGAACAAGGUA